GACGAACGCUGGCGGCGUGCCUAAUACAUGCAAGUCGAACGCUUCUUUCCUCCUUACUGCUUGCUCUCAAUUGGAAAGAGUAGUGGCGGACUGGUUAGUAACACGUGGGUAACCUACCCAUCAUAGGGUGAUAACACUUGUAAUCAGGUGCUAAUACCUCAUAACAGUUUAUUCCGCAUGUCAUAAGAGUUAAAGGCUCUUUCGGCUGUCUCUCAUCUAUGUACCCGCGUUGUAUUAGCUAGUUGGGGCGGUAAGGGCCCACCAAGGCCACGUUGCAUAGCAGACGUGAGAGGGUGAGCGGCCAGACGGGGACUGAGACAAGGUCCAGACUCCGACGGGAGGCAGAAGUAGGGGAUAUUCGGCAAUGGACGAAAGUGUGAACGAGCAACGCGGCGUGAGUGAAGAAGGUGUGCGGAUCGUAAAACUCUGUGGUUAGAGAAGAACAAUGACGUAAGUAACUGAACGUGUCCUGACGGUAUCGAAACAGAAAGCCACGGCUAACUACGUG
RNAcentral lists this ribosomal RNA (508 nucleotides) under uncultured bacterium. RNAcentral's name for it is "partial 16S ribosomal RNA". It matches the Rfam family "Bacterial small subunit ribosomal RNA", at positions 28 to 507 of the family's 1533-position model. The record is from RNAcentral.